Molecule: non-coding RNA, 781 nt
Organism: Podarcis lilfordi (Lilford's wall lizard)
Lineage: Eukaryota; Metazoa; Chordata; Lepidosauria; Squamata; Lacertidae
Source: the annotation of a GenBank genome assembly
GGCCACGUUUAUUUCAAGUCCCACACUGAGGUGAAAAACACACACAGAGGCAGCAGGACUUCUUCAGUAACAGUUUACUGAGCUUUCAAAGUGUACAGUUCUCACUGGGUCCCCAGUGAGGCACAAAACUUAGCUCCUGAGAGCAAAUCCAGUUUCAGCAGUAAAGUCAUACAGCAUACAGGAUAUCUAAGCCAGGCACACACACCGGCAGAAGGGAGCAAGGGAGGAAAGAGGCUGGAAGGACACAGGGCAAUGGAUGUGUGUGUUUCACUUCCUGUCGUCUUGGAGGGAAGUCAGCAACUCAGCAUCUGCAGGGGCUUCAUGAAGAAAAGCUUUCUGCCGCUGCUUGCAGGCACAUCACAGAAACACACACUGCAAUUCGCAGUGUAUUGCCAUAUCAGUUGUUCUUCAAAGGGUAUCGAGAUGUGGUCUAGAAACCAGUAUUGUACCAGAUAUCAAUAUAUCGCCCAGCCCUAAUCCUCACUCACCACCAGCAAACCAGAUUCAUCCUCUCUAUCGAAAGGUACUUUACCACUUAGAUUAUACUCACAUUGUUUGACAUUGCCUUCAAUAUUUCAUUGCUGUUCAGUUUUACAUAUAAACACAAGAACUUCAAAUACACAUCGUGUGUUUAAGACUGAUUUCCUGCUGAGUUCAUUGCUGUGAAGAAAGAGUGGACACUGAAAGGAAAAUGUCCCGCACUCCAUACAUCUAAAUGGGUUCUUCCAUGGGAAAGUCCCUGGAUGUUCCUUAAACACUCCAUUGUAAAUAAAGCACUUUU